RNAcentral lists this unclassified non-coding RNA (1340 nucleotides) under uncultured Neocallimastigales. RNAcentral describes it as "partial contains small subunit ribosomal RNA, internal transcribed spacer 1, 5.8S ribosomal RNA, internal transcribed spacer 2, and large subunit ribosomal RNA". The stretch from base 609 to 1340 matches the Rfam family "Eukaryotic large subunit ribosomal RNA", at positions 1 to 630 of the family's 3401-position model. Lineage: Eukaryota; Fungi; Neocallimastigomycota; Neocallimastigomycetes; Neocallimastigales. The record is from RNAcentral.
CGGAAGUAAAGUCGUAACAGGUUUCCGUAGGUGAACUGCGGAAGGAUCAUUAUAAAUGGUCUACGUUUUUUUAAGUAGACGCUUAAUAAUCUACCUUUGUGAAUUUGUGUUUUAAAUAAUUUUUUUUAAAAUUAUUGAUUGUCUUUCCCUGUUGAAUGGUUGUCUUAAUGCAAAUGAUUCGCAGGGAGUGUCAGUAAUUUUAAAAGACUUUUUAAAAUUAAACUUUUGUAUUCAUUUGUCUAAAAUUAUUUUUAUAAUAUAAACACUUUUGACAAUGGAUUCUUGGUUCUCGCAACGAUGAAGAACGCAGCAAAAUGCGAUAAGUGUGUGAAUUGCAGAAUACGUGAAUCAUGAAUUUCGAACGCAUAUUGCACUUUUAGUUUACUAAAAAAGUAUGUCUGUUGAGUAUCAGUAAAAUAUUCUCAUAAAAACAUUGUUUUUAUGUUAUGAGUGUUUUACAACGAUACAAGUGUUCACUUUAAAUUUUUUAAAUUUGAAUUUUCUAAUUUUAAAUAAAAUUGGAUAAAAUUUUCCGUAAAAGGAAUAACUAAACAAUUUUAAAUUUUGAUUAGAAUCUUCACAUUCUAAAGAAAUUUAACUAAAUAACUUGAUCUCAAUCAGAUAAGAGUACCCGCUGAACUAAGCAUAUCAAUAAGCGGAGGAAAAGAAACUAACAAGGAUUCCUUAGUAACGGCGAGUGAGCGGGAGAGCUCAAUUGAAAUCUCAAGUUUACCUUGACGAAUUGUAGUUUAAAGAAGUUUUCUGUUGAAGUUUUGGUAAAGUUCUUGGAUGGACAUCAUAGAGGUGAGAAUCCGUAUUGACCAUUAUUUCAGCUGUGUGAUACACUUCAAGAGUCGGAUUGUUUGGAAUGCAGUCCAAAAUGGGUGGUAAAUUUCAUCUAAAGCUAAAUAUUGGCGAGAGACGAUAGCGAACAAGUACCGUGAGGGAAAGAUGAAGAACUUUGAAAAGAGUUAACGUACGUGAAAUUGUCAAAGGAAGCGUUCGACACCAGUGUUGUUUUCUCGAAAUCAUUAAAAAAGUUGGAUUUUGUGUUGUAUUGACCUUAACAGCUUGCUUCACUCUUUUCUGCUUUUUUUAAUGCACUUUUCGUUAGCAAGUCAACAUCAGUUUCUUUUGUUGUAAAAGGUCAUUGGAGGUGCUUUCUCUUCGGAGAAAGUGUUUAUAGCCUUUGAUCUCUGCAAUCGGAGAGACUGAGGUCUGCAGCGUAGAUCUUCGGGUUAGAUACAUUUGUGCUAGCUACAGCUUUCAUAGACAAUUGUUGACUAUGUUAGUCUUGUAACUUACCGCUUAUGCUAUUUACCUACGCUUAGGAUGUUGAG